AGUUUAAGUAGCUUAAUUAAAGCACGACAUUGAAGUUGUUGGGAUGAGGGGUUACCUCCUUGAAC
Molecule: transfer RNA, 65 nt
Filed under: Sclomina erinacea
Lineage: Eukaryota; Metazoa; Arthropoda; Insecta; Hemiptera; Reduviidae
Description: tRNA-Phe
Rfam family: tRNA
About the family: Transfer RNA (tRNA) molecules are approximately 80 nucleotides in length. Their secondary structure includes four short double-helical elements and three loops (D, anti-codon, and T loops).
Source: RNAcentral